This 677-nucleotide ribosomal RNA is filed under the name uncultured Sphingobacteriia bacterium. Its description in RNAcentral is "bacterial SSU rRNA". It matches the Rfam family "Bacterial small subunit ribosomal RNA", at positions 46 to 716 of the family's 1533-position model. Lineage: Bacteria; Pseudomonadati; Bacteroidota; Sphingobacteriia. The record is from RNAcentral.
GCUUAAUACAUGCAAGUCGUGGGGCAGCGCAGUGUAGCAAUACAUGGGCGGCGACCGGCAAACGGGUGCGGAACACGUACACAACCUUCCUACAAGUGGGGAAUAGCCCAGAGAAAUUUGGAUUAAUACCCCGUAACAUAUAAAGAUGGCAUCAUUUUUAUAUUAUAGCUACGGCGCUUGUUGAUGGGUGUGCGGCUGAUUAGGUAGUUGGCGGGGUAAUGGCCCACCAAGCCUGCGAUCAGUAGCUGAUGUGAGAGCAUGAUCAGCCACACGGGCACUGAGACACGGGCCCGACUCCUACGGGAGGCAGCAGUAAGGAAUAUUGGACAAUGGGCGCAAGCCUGAUCCAGCCAUGCCGCGUGAAGGAUUAAGGUCCUCUGGAUUGUAAACUUCUUUUAUAAGGGACGAAAAAAGGGAAUUCUUUCUCACUUGACGGUACCUUAUGAAUAAGCACCGGCUAACUCCGUGCCAGCAGCCGCGGUAAUACGGAGGGUGCAAGCGUUAUCCGGAUUCACUGGGUUUAAAGGGUGCGUAGGCGGGUAUUUAAGUCAGUGGUGAAAUCCUAGAGCUUAACUCUAGAACUGCCAUUGAUACUAUUUAUCUUGAAUAUUGUGGAGGUAAGCGGAAUAUGUCAUGUAGCGGUGAAAUGCUUAGAUAUGACAUAGAACACCUAUUGC